This 482-nucleotide ribosomal RNA is filed under the name uncultured bacterium. Its description in RNAcentral is "partial 16S ribosomal RNA". It matches the Rfam family "Bacterial small subunit ribosomal RNA", at positions 30 to 507 of the family's 1533-position model. The record is from RNAcentral.
AUUGAACGCUGGCGGCAUGCCUUACACAUGCAAGUCGAACGGAAACAGGUCUUCGGAUGCUGACGAGCGGCGGACGGGGGAGUAAUACAUCGGAACGUGCCCGAUCGUGGGGGAUAACGAGGCGAAAGCUUUGCUAAUACCGCAUACGAGCUACGGAUGAAAGCGGGGGAUCUUCGGACCUCGCGCGGACGGAGCGGCCGAUGGCAGAUUAGGUAGUUGGUGGGAUAAAAGCUUACCAAGCCGACGAUCUGUAGCUGGUCUGAGAGGAUGAUCAGCCACACUGGGACUGAGACACGGCCCAGACUCCUACGGGAGGCAGCAGUGGGGAAUUUUGGACAAUGGGCGAAAGCCUGAUCCAGCCAUGCCGCGUGCAGGAUGAAGGCCUUUGGGUUGUAAACUGCUUUUGUACGGAACGAAAAGCCUCUUUCUAAUAAAGAGGGGUCAUGACGGUACCGUAAGAAUAAGCACCGGCUAACUACGUG